Molecule: small RNA, 29 nt
Filed under: Bombyx mori (domestic silkworm)
Lineage: Eukaryota; Metazoa; Arthropoda; Insecta; Lepidoptera; Bombycidae
Description: ovarian small RNA-5649
Source: RNAcentral
UAACCAGAUGUCAGAUCUGGCUGGUGUUC